This 465-nucleotide ribosomal RNA is filed under the name uncultured bacterium. RNAcentral describes it as "bacterial SSU rRNA". It matches the Rfam family "Bacterial small subunit ribosomal RNA", at positions 28 to 507 of the family's 1533-position model. The record is from RNAcentral.
GACGAACGCUGGCGGCGCGCCUAACACAUGCAAGUCGAACGAGAGAUGAGGAGCUUGCUCUUCAGAUCGAGUGGCGAACGGGUGAGUAACGCGUGAGGAACCUGCCUCAAAGAGGGGGACAACAGUUGGAAACGACUGCUAAUACCGCAUAAGCCCACGGCUCGGCAUCGAGCAGGGGGAAAAGGAGCAAUCCGCUUUGAGAUGGCCUCGCGUCCGAUUAGCUAGUUGGUGAGGUAACAGCCCACCAAGGCGACGAUCGGUAGCCGGACUGAGAGGUUGAACGGCCACAUUGGGACUGAGACACGGCCCAGACUCCUACGGGAGGCAGCAGUGGGAAUAUUGCACAAUGGGGGAAACCCUGAUGCAGCGACGCCGCGUGGAGGAAGAAGGUCUUCGGAUUGUAAACUCCUGUUGUUGAGGAAGAUAAUGACGGUACUCAACAAGGAAGUGACGGCUAACUACGUG